AGCCGGCCGGGCCUGGGAACGUGGCUGGUUGGAGGAGGUGGAUCACCGUUUCUGCGGUGGACGAUUUCGUCGGUGGUAGGCUGCUACCAUGAGGUUGAAUCAGAACACCUUGCUGCUGGGGAAGAAGGUGGUCCUUGUACCCUACACCUCGGAGCAUGUGCCCAGUUUUCCGUUUGAGGGUUCCUGGUGCCCUAACUUUGUGGGAUCUGUCCAGCCGCCUUUGUUGAGGUACCACGAGUGGAUGAAAUCAGAGGAGCUGCAGCGUUUGACAGCCUCAGAGCCGCUGACCCUGGAGCAGGAGUAUGCCAUGCAGCGCAGCUGGCGGGAAGAUGCAGACAGUGAGGAGUGCCCCCCACUCCCCCUAGCCCUGGUACUGGGAGGGCUGACUCCACAGUCAGUCUCCAGGUUCCUUCCCUUUCCCAGCCCUGGCCACAGAAACUUUGUGAAAAGCCUGGAAGGUGCUGGAACUCCUGUAUUCUCAUGGCCCUGAAGCCAGUCCCUGUGGCUGACCCUUCUGUCCUCUUCCCCACCCAUUGCAUCGGGCUUGGAAGGAUUUGGA
RNAcentral lists this small RNA (559 nucleotides) under Pongo abelii (Sumatran orangutan). Its description in RNAcentral is "retained intron". The record is from RNAcentral. Lineage: Eukaryota; Metazoa; Chordata; Mammalia; Primates; Hominidae.